GGAUUUACAAUAAUUUGGUGAAUAAAAUAUAAGUUUGUAUUGAGUCAAACAUAUUGAUGAUUCAGAUGAUAUUGUCUACAGACACUAUAAAUAAGUCGAGAUAAGUUAUGACGUGUUAUAAUCAGUAUACAGACGCCAUAACUUAAUUACAAAAAACAAGAGCCUGCGGUUGUAAAUGUAUAAUUUUUUAAAUACACAACAUAACUUUGUGCGUACUAGAAGUUCUGUACAAUAAUACAGUCAUAAUCAGCAUUGGAAAUGAACAUGUAUUUUGCAUCGGGAUUGGAAAGCAGGAAAUUUCAUAAUCUGUUGUUGGCGCCAAAAACUUUAAAGGACCCAUACCUACUGCAAAAUGGUGAAGAUGAGACGAACGUCAUCAAACCUAGUCCUUUUUAUGGCUUUGUUUCUGGUUUGUUCACUGAGUGCUAAGGCCUGUGUGGUAGACCAUUCCUCGUUUGGUGGCUGUAAAGACGUGGGUGGACACUGUAAAACAGCGGCGGGCGAGUGUUACGUGGUCCCUACUCUAUAUUACGGAGCCCAGUGCUGCUGCUCUGUCGACGAGACAUGCCCUUGGAUUCAACCAGAUUCAAGCAUUGUUCAGAAGAACAACGAUCUUUAAACUUUCGAAGACAAUCUUUUUCAAUGUACAUAAUUGAUAUAAGAAUAUUUGAUUAUCGGACAACGACUCUUCGUUAUCAAAUAGUUGUAUGAUUUAACUUCCACCUUUGAACAUUCAACAAUCAACAUCAUAGAUUGUGAUUUUCCAGUCUAACCUUUUCCAUGUUUGUUUAUCUAAAAAGAUAUUUAUGUUAUACAUAGAUAAAAAAUAAACCAUUAAUUUAAAA
This is a long non-coding RNA of Ostrea edulis (European flat oyster), 845 nucleotides long. RefSeq lists it as uncharacterized. The record is from RefSeq and is a predicted model, not a curated record. The transcript has 2 exons. Lineage: Eukaryota; Metazoa; Mollusca; Bivalvia; Ostreida; Ostreidae.